This 82-nucleotide transfer RNA is filed under the name Schizophyllum amplum. Its description in RNAcentral is "Auriculariopsis ampla tRNA". It matches the Rfam family "tRNA". Rfam says of the family: Transfer RNA (tRNA) molecules are approximately 80 nucleotides in length. Their secondary structure includes four short double-helical elements and three loops (D, anti-codon, and T loops). Lineage: Eukaryota; Fungi; Basidiomycota; Agaricomycetes; Agaricales; Schizophyllaceae. The record is from Rfam by way of RNAcentral.
UCGGAUAUGGUGUAACGGCCAACAUUGCCGCCUCUCAUUGCAGUGUACGCGGCAGCUCGGGGUUCGAUUCCCCGUAUCCGAA